AUUUAUCAAGUAAAUAGUCUAAGUAAUAACGCGUGACAAAGUUCGCCACAGUCGAAGAUUGUUGGAUUGACACACGGCAGACGACCCUUCUCAACCACCUCGCGGUUUCCUCUUGAAAGGAUGAAGGAGAUCUCUACCAGCUCUUGUGGGACGUGCCCACACACAAUUCCCCGCACAGCUGCUGAGGAGGACUGAAGGUUCAGCGGGCGUCCUCCGAUCCCACGACCGAUCCAGCUUCCUCUUCCACACCCAGGAACUCCAGAGCAGAUGUGAGCGAGCUACCACCCCCUGGAGGACAAGCCCUGCAGGUGUCUGCUCUGAGCUCACUGGGAGCCUGGCCGGUAGGGCGAUGAGGAGGAACAGUCCCUGCCGAUUUUGCCUCCCUGACCCACGGGAGCACCAGAGCCAAUGCGACUCUCCCUUCAGAGUCCCCAGCGAAGACCAGCGACUCCGCACAGCCAGGAGGUGAACCUGCGCUCUCCUGACUGUAUGACUCACCCUGCGCACCACGCGGCCGUGCCUUUACCAGUUUCCUGGCACUGCAGUUGAGUGGAGAAGGAGGGAGCGAGAGAGAGGGAGCGAGAGACCACGGAGUGCUGACUCCAGUGUAUUGACUGUCUAAUCCCCACAGAGACGCAGAGGAGCAAGCUGCAGCACUGCAGAUAAGGAAACAGAGGGCAACACAAACGUCCAGGAAUCUGCACUGAAUACCAAACUGCUGCCUGCCUGCCUGCGUAGGCCUUUCUGAGUGAAAUCAACACACAGCAUUCCCUUCCCACUGCUGCAGAGCCAAACAGCUACCACACUGUCUCUGAAAGUGCAGACCCCUUAUCAGAGGUAACCACAAUCAAUCAAAGCCUAGCAAAGGGUAAUAAUAAAGCAUGGAAAAGCCAAGAGAGGAGGUAAUUGCAUCGUGUAGCCAUGAGGAAAGUAUACUGUAAACAUGUUUACAUAUAUAAGAGAUAGGAGCCAGCUUGCACUGUUUUGAAGUCCUGCAACAAUACAAUAAAGACUUCUUUUGAUAGGUAUAUUCCUAGAAUGCAAGGUUACGGGUUGGGAAAAGAAAAUGUGGCUCUGUGUUCCAGGUGCUUUGACAUGGAGUUCUGGAGAUGCUCAUCAGUUCUAAUGGCCUGCCACAGACAUGUGCAAUGCAGGCUGGACCAGUCCAGGUGUCUCUGCACUAGUAAGUGCAAACACUGUCUCGUUCACAGCACUGCGUUGCCAGCAAAAUUAGAGGAGCACUCUUGGUAAAGCCCAGACUACACACGUCUAGGGCAGGCAGCUAGAACGAAAGAACAGCUCCUGAACUGAGGUGGAAGUAACUUAACACAGACCUUUUAAUAAAUAAAACUAGAGGGAUUGCACUUGUCAUAAAAAGGUUGUGUGUCUCUGUAGCUCUGUAUGUAAUUGCAUGCCUAGCUGUGGUCUCUUUGUUUCUGUAUGUUUCUGUAUGUAGAGUGGAGUAGUGGUUAGGGCUCUGGACUCUUGACCGGAGGGUCGUGGGUUCAAUCCCAGGUGGGGGACACUGCUGCUGUACCCUUGAGCGAGGUACUUUACCUAGAUUGCUCUAGUAAAAAUCCAACUACAUAACUGGGUAAUUGUAUGUAAAAAAUAAUGUAUUAAAAAAUAAUGUAAUUGUAUGUAAAAAUAAUGUGAUAUCUUGUAACAAUUGUAAGUUGCUCUGGAUAAGGGCG
Long non-coding RNA from Acipenser ruthenus (sterlet), 1694 nucleotides. RefSeq lists it as uncharacterized. The transcript has 4 exons. Lineage: Eukaryota; Metazoa; Chordata; Actinopteri; Acipenseriformes; Acipenseridae. The record is from RefSeq and is a predicted model, not a curated record.